RNAcentral lists this ribosomal RNA (540 nucleotides) under uncultured bacterium. Its description in RNAcentral is "bacterial SSU rRNA". It matches the Rfam family "Bacterial small subunit ribosomal RNA", at positions 29 to 526 of the family's 1533-position model. The record is from RNAcentral.
AAUGAACGUUGGCGGCGUGGAUUAGGCAUGCAAGUCGAGCGGUAGGAGUUCACUCACCCCGAUCAUUUGGUUCCCGGCAGUGACCGGGGCUGAGUGGGCGAGGUGAGUGGACUCUGAGAGCGGCGAAAGGGAGAGUAAUACGUAGUUACGUACCCCGAGGACCGGAAUAGCCACGGGAAACUGUGGGUAAUGCCGGAUGAUGUCUUCGGACUAAAGGUGUGAUUCCGCCAUGGGAGCGGACUGCGUUGUACUAGCUAGUUGGUAGGGUAAUGGCCUACCAAGGCGAUGAUGCAUAGCGGGUGUGAGAGCAUGACCCGCCUCACUGGGACUGAGACACUGCCCAGACACCUACGGGUGGCUGCAGUCGAGAAUCUUCGGCAAUGGACGAAAGUCUGACCGAGCGACGCCGUGUGUGGGAUGAAGGCCUUCGGGUUGUAAACCACUGUCGUAGAGGAGGAAAUUGACCGGGGUUCUCCCCGGUUAUUGACCUAUUCUAGGAGGAAGGACGGGCUAAGUUCGUGCCAGCAGCCGCAGUAAAAC